Molecule: non-coding RNA, 207 nt
Organism: Pantherophis guttatus
Lineage: Eukaryota; Metazoa; Chordata; Lepidosauria; Squamata; Colubridae
Source: RefSeq, a predicted model, not a curated record
AACGCCUCGACCUGACUCGAUCUUCUUGAGUUCCAGCUCGGAGACGGUUCCCUUGGCGGCUAAAUACCCAGUGCCACCUUCGAGAAGAAGAUUCUGGGAAGAGAAGAAAGUCUGCCAUGGGAUCAGCUACAGGAUCAGGAUCAAAUGGACCUAUAGGACAUUUGUCCACUCCAGAGGCGUUCUUGAAUUAAAAUGUCUUUGAUAAAA